RNA transcript from Drosophila teissieri, 859 nucleotides. It is a transcript of the gene named bomanin Short 1-like, with no coding region annotated. Lineage: Eukaryota; Metazoa; Arthropoda; Insecta; Diptera; Drosophilidae. The transcript has 3 exons. The record is from RefSeq and is a predicted model, not a curated record.
AAUCGAUUGCUCAGUACACUCCAAAAUCCAAAACCGGAGAAACCAAUCCAGAAUCAAUAUGAAAUUCUUCUCAGUCGUCACCGUCUUCGUACUCGGUCUGCUGGCUGUGGCCAACGCUGUUCCACUGCCCGAACCAGGAGACGUAACCAUCGUCGGAAACUGCAAUAAUUGCGAAAUCAUAAACGUUGACCAGAAACAGAAAAUAUGUUACAAAACGUAUAAUGGGCUUACCAUUUGUUAUAGGUUGUGAAGUCACACACACAUUUAUAAUGCCAAACAAAUAAAUACAUAAAAAGAGAGGAAUUUAGUUUCUUUCGCACUAGAAAAGAAAACAAGACGAGUUUUAUUUGUGUGUAGCUACCAAUUAAUGCAUUUAAAUUUCUUAGGAAAAAUGUGGGACAGGAUUGCGAUAAGCUGUUAAAAAUGUUAUUCCUCAUAAUAUGCAUAGUUAAUAGAUUUCAUUAUUGUCUCUCAAUCAAUGCUCUCAUCUCCUACUGCACUUGAGUCACUCCGAUUCUCCGAUUUUACUAUCGACUAUAUAUAAUCUGAUUCCGUAGAUCGAGAGCAUCAGUUGUAGAUUAUCGUUGGACCGGUGUGCUUAUAAAACCGGAUCUAUUUAUUGAAAAUCAAUAUGAGAUUCUUUACAGUCGUCACCAUAUUUGUGCUUGGUGCCCUGGCCUUAGCCGAAGCUGUUCCGCUGUCACCCGGUCCAGGAAAUGUUAUCAUCAAUGGCGAUUGUGUAAACUGCAAUGUUCGCGGUGACAUAUAGAGAAUUGUAGUCAAAUAAACCCUAGAAUGUAAAAUGCCUUUUUUCAUUUGUAAUAAAAUAGAAACAAAUUCUAAGCAUUCUACGACAUAA